Molecule: non-coding RNA, 230 nt
Organism: Arachis ipaensis
Lineage: Eukaryota; Viridiplantae; Streptophyta; Magnoliopsida; Fabales; Fabaceae
Source: RefSeq, a predicted model, not a curated record
UGUUUUUCUGAUGUUGAGACUUUUCACCAUCACUUGAGCUGCCUAGAAUCAUCAUGGUAGCUGCCAAGAGAGCGGAACGGGUGUUAGAACUGCUAAUGGAGCUGCUGUGUUUAGUGAUUUUUGCGAGUUUCAACUUUGAGUGACACAGGUUCGAAGACUCCGUUUGAAGCUGCAGGCGAAUAUAGAACUUAUUUAUGAGUUAAGUUUAUGAGUUAAGUUUCUUUCAUAGA